GUUAAUUAUUUCUCAAUUUACACUUUUUGCAAAUACAAAAAAAAGGUACUAAACCCGACUUUCAUCUAGCCAAAGAUUCGAAAGAAGCUUUAAUUUUAUAUAAUAAAAUAAUUGAAGAAUUUGAAAAAGAAUAUAAAAAAGAAAAAAUAAAAAAAGGAAAAUUUGGUUGCUACAUGAAUAUUGACGUUACCAAUGAUGGACCAGUCACAAUAUUUAUUGAUAGUCAUGACAUUAAUUUAGCUAAAUAAUUAUUUAGUCAUUUUUUUUUAUAUAUAUGUAUUUUUUUUUAAUAUAAGUAGCACAUUAUAAAAAUUUUACUUUACCCUAACACCAGUGAAGUAUACAUAUAUAUAUAUAUACCCAUAUACACUUAUGUUUUUUAUAACUUACAUUUAAUUUGUACAGCCAGUUUGUAUUUUUCAAAAAAAUAUAUGUUUAGUGAAUAAAAAAGGUGAUACUAUAUAAAUAAAUAUAUAUAUAUAUAUAAUCCAUCGAAGUUUUAUUUAUAAUAAUUAAAAAAAAAUCCAAGUUACUUAAAAUUAAAAAGGAAGCAUAUAUGCCCAUAUUGUACAUACAUACAUAUAUACACAUAUCUAUAUAGACAAAAUUUCAAAGGCAAGAUGAAAGUUCUAAAUAAAAAAGAGAUCAGUAUAUUGUUACCCUUAUGGGAAUAUAAAAUAAAAAAGGAAUGUUACAAUUAUAUAGAAAGAAAAAUUAAAUUUCUUAGUUUUACUCAGGCAUGGCAAUUUAUGAAUAAUAUAAGUAAACAAAAUGAAAUUGUAAAUCACCAUUGUAAAUAUGUUAAUGACUACAACAAAGUAAAAAUAAAAAUGCAUACACAUACUGUAAAAGACGUAACUGAGAAAGAUGUUAAAUUGGCUAGCUACAUUGAUGAAGCAUUAAAAAAUUAUGACCACGAAAAAAAAUAAAUGAUAAAAACAUGAAUGAACGAAAAUAGAAAGAAAUCCGCACGUACAUACGUACGUACGUACAUAUAUAUAUAUAUAUAUAUAUGUGUGUUUACAAAAAAAAUAAAAUUAUAUUAACUUAUUGUAUGUAUAAAAAU
This 1066-nucleotide long non-coding RNA is filed under the name Piliocolobus tephrosceles (Ugandan red Colobus). RNAcentral's name for it is "lncRNA (ENSPTEG00000002639.1)". The record is from RNAcentral. Lineage: Eukaryota; Metazoa; Chordata; Mammalia; Primates; Cercopithecidae.